Molecule: long non-coding RNA, 530 nt
Organism: Cyprinodon variegatus (sheepshead minnow)
Lineage: Eukaryota; Metazoa; Chordata; Actinopteri; Cyprinodontiformes; Cyprinodontidae
Exons: 3
Source: RefSeq, a predicted model, not a curated record
CUGUACGUUAGUCUGCGCUAAUGCAGGCGAACGGUUUGCUAAUCAGUCAGGAACUGGAAGGUUCCCUGUCUGUCAGAAAACUUAACACAUCUGUUUGGGAAACAUAAAUAAUAUAAACCUAAAAGUUCCACCUAGAAAUGGUCUGAAGUGGUGCUGUCUGUUCUGCACAGUAUAGCUCUGUUGUGGCCUUACGAAUGGGACGUGAUCAGCAGACUCUUCAUCGUUGACAAGCCCAUAGCGAUCCACUGUGUGAGUCAGAACGCCGCAGACGGCUCUACGGCGCAGUACACCACCGAGCCUGAGCUGUGCUGGGAGUGCAGAGAGAGCUUCCUGUUUCAGCAGCAGAGGGACCUUAGAGAGUACACCCAGGCAACCGUCUACAUCCGCAAAGUCAUCGAAGACAAAAUGGCGGGAAAAGACAGCGCCCCGGAGCUGAAUGCCUGCAGCUCUGAAGCAGAAGAGGAGAGGGAGGAGCUUCCAAAGAUGGAUGGAGAGAAAGAUCCAGACUUCAGUCAGGUAACAUUGCUGCU